GAUGAACGCUGGCGGCGUGCCUAAUACAUGCAAGUCGAGCGAACAGACGAGGAGCUUGCUCCUCUGACGUUAGCGGCGGACGGGUGAGUAACACGUGGAUAACCUACCUAUAAGACUGGGAUAACUUCGGGAAACCGGAGCUAAUACCGGAUAAUAUAUUGAACCGCAUGGUUCAAUAGUGAAAGACGGUUUUGCUGUCACUUAUAGAUGGAUCCGCGCCGCAUUAGCUAGUUGGUAAGGUAACGGCUUACCAAGGCGACGAUGCGUAGCCGACCUGAGAGGGUGAUCGGCCACACUGGAACUGAGACACGGUCCAGACUCCUACGGGAGGCUGCAGUAGGGAAUCUUCCGCAAUGGGCGAAAGCCUGACGGAGCAACGCCGCGUGAGUGAUGAAGGUCUUCGGAUCGUAAAACUCUGUUAUUAGGGAAGAACAAAUGUGUAAGUAACUAUGCACGUCUUGACGGUACCUAAUCAGAAAGCCACGGCUAACUACGUG
This 497-nucleotide ribosomal RNA is filed under the name uncultured bacterium. Its description in RNAcentral is "partial 16S ribosomal RNA". It matches the Rfam family "Bacterial small subunit ribosomal RNA", at positions 28 to 507 of the family's 1533-position model. The record is from RNAcentral.